Molecule: long non-coding RNA, 2494 nt
Organism: Heterocephalus glaber (naked mole-rat)
Lineage: Eukaryota; Metazoa; Chordata; Mammalia; Rodentia; Bathyergidae
Source: Ensembl
CUUAUAGACUUUAAUACAGUAUAUAUUUUCAAAAUAUAAACUUUUAUAUUUCUGUGGUAAGUUAGGAUAUGCGUUUUAGGCAAUCUUUUCCAUAAUAUCACUUGUUCUUUCAAAAAACUAGCAUACAGGUUUGGUGCCAAUGUUUUUGUUUUGUUCUUUAUGUUUUUAAAAUCUACUGCUCUUAUACUGUUAGAGAGCAGGUUCAUUUUCUUUUUCUAGAAGUAACUAAGUUUGAAGUAUCAUUUGAAAAUGUAUUGAAUUUUUGAGUAAGCCUUACCAUUAGGAUCAUAAACUUUCCAACCUUUGCAACUACGUGUGUAGUUUAAGAUCUCCCCAUAAAUUCUCACAGUGUGGCAGUUGAUGGAGUUUGUGGACAGAGCCUUAAGAUUGCUGCAAAAAUAAUAAUAAAAGGGUAAUACGGGUUGUUUCCUCCAUGUUGACAGGCUCAAUGUAGUCUGUCGGUCAGAGUUUGGUUAAGUUGAUGGUGGCAGGGACCAGAUAGAUACUUUGGAGAUUGUCUUUGGCCAUAAGGUUGGCCCAAAGACAGAUUUUCUGGAGCCACUUUCAUACUGUUCACUUGGUUUAGACAUGGUCAUGGGGAGGGCUGCUGGUUCAUCAUUUGUUCUGAACAAAUGGCACUUCCUGCUCCUGACCCUGGUGAUGGAUCCCAGGGCUCCUUGUGGAUGACCUGAGAAGUCCAGUCUGGUUGAGGUCAGAGCUCCUUGAGAGAUGUUAACAAAGUUUAUGUAUGAGUCUUACUGUGUAGACAAUCUGAAGUUGGUUUUACAUAAUCAGCAUUCCCAUGUGUCCUCAGUGUCCCCUUGGUGAACUCUGUGUGUCAAGCCAUACUAACCUGGAGUUUAACAGGACAAAAGCAGUUGGAAUGCUGAACCCGCUCAUCAGCUGAGUCUGUCUAUCUGGGGCUAUCUCAGUGGAGAAAAGGCAGGCAUAGAGAUGAUCAACAGUGAGGUUAUUGUGUUUGGGAAUCUAAUAAAACCAGCUAGAAUUUGGCCUUAGGUUUUAAAAAAAUUACAACUCCUUUGGUUGGCCACAAUGGAGUAGUUACCAACUGAUCUUCCUUACCAAUGCCUUUGAUCUAAGAUCUCGAGUGCCUGGUUACAGUAUGGCUGAAGUCAUUUGGUCCAUCUUUAAUAAGUGUCCAUAAGGUCAUCUUAUCAACCACUGGGAUGGAAAUUUGUGAAUUUGAUUCCCAUUUUUGUAUUGCGUGUGGCAAGUCAGGAAAGCCAGUGUCUGGUGUUAGGGCUCAGCUCUGACGUCUCUGUAGGGUGACCUCACUUCACUGGCCCAACAUCUGGCCUCAUGCCAGAGCUCAUUCAUUUGGCUCUGGGAAGGUCAGAAGGUAUAGAGUUUUCUAUCUAGUAUUUAAUUUGUCCCUGUGCCAUUAGUCUCAGCUUGAAGUCAUUUGCCAAGGUCUAUGUUGACAGGAUUGUGAAAAUAUUGCCUUUCAUAAAACCAAGGACCAAAGAAUUCCAUUAUUCCAACAAAGCGUGAGUUUCAUAGAUUUUAGGGGCGUCCAGAUGGAGAAGUUCGAGCUUGAAAUCACUCAGCACCCCCAACCUCAUGCUCCCUCGGCUGGCCAGACACAGGGACUCGUUGUCACAUUGAGAAGGCUCUGAAAGAGGAGUUUCUAAGGCUGAAACUUACUGUCUCAGGUGGUGUUUCUGCUGUAUAGUCCUAAGCUUUUUAUUCAUAUCAUAUAAAGUGGGAACCUGGCAUUUCUCUGGGUUUAUCUGACCAGUGUAGAUGCCUCCUUUUGCACAUGAGUCUUUGAUACGAGUUUUGCAACUGUGUCUGCGCUGAGCAGUGGGAUCCUCUGACUGCCAGAUUUCCACCUCUUUAGUUCUACAUCAACCCAUUCCAAUUCCAGUUUGGCAGGGAGUAGGGGAGAAUUUUCCUCAAUUCUCACACCAGGUGAUGCUCCAUUCUCAUUCAUGGUGAAAUCAUUGAUCCAUUAACCAGUUGAGAAAUGAUGGAUGUUGACAAAGUGCUAUUCUAUUGGUAAGGCUUAUUACCAAACUUCUUAUAAUGAAGCAGGCUACCAAAAACUUACCCAGCCCACCCCAAGAGUGUUCGGGUUGGUUCAUGGGUGUAGCAUACACACCAAAAUCCACGGAGACCUUUGCAAAUUAGGCUACUCGUUUUAUUUUGCCAGAUUAUCAUGGGAGAGUCUUUAACUAGUUCUGAACAUUUGUAAGUAUGAGUACUUCAUAGAGAUAUAAAGCAGGUACAGCAGACCCAUCCUCACCAUGUUGUAAAUAUUUCCUGAAACUGGGUGCAGUCCUGAGGGAUAAUAAUCUUCUGAUUUAUCAAAUGCUGACUGUCUAGAGCAAAGUGUACACUCUCUUUGUGAAUGGUCCUGUAACGUGUAUGAACACAUUUCUGGGUGCCUUAGAAGUUGUAUUUUUCAUGUGUGCUAAUAUGCAGUAUUUAUACAUUGUGAGAAGCUGCUUUGAAUAAAAAGGUUGAAACUUUG